UUCUAACCGUAAACUAUGCCAACUAGCGAUCCGUCGGUGUUAAAUAUUGACUCGACGGGCAGCUUCCGGGAAACCAAAGUUUAUAGGUUCCGGGGGAAGUAUGGUUGCAAAGCUUAAACUUAAAGGAAUUGACGGAAGGGCACCACCAGGAGUGGAGCCUGCGGCUUAAUUUGACUCAACACGGGGAAACUCACCCGGCCAGGACACAAUAAGGAUUGACAGAUUGAUAGCUCUUUCUUGAUUUUGUGGGUGGUGGUGCAUGGCCGUUCUUAGUUGGUGGAGCGAUUUGUCUGGUUAAUUCCGAUAACGAACGAGACUCUAGCCUAUUAAAUAGACGAUAUAUUUUAUUCGUAUAUCGAGCUUCUUAGAGGGACGAGCAGCUUCUAGCUGCACGAGAUUGAGCAAUAACAGGUCUGUGAUGCCCUUAGAUGUCCGGGGCUGCACGCGCGCUACAAUGAAAAUAGCAGCGCGUUUCGAAAACCUUUUCUGGAAAGAAUUGGUAAACGCGAAAUAUUUUCGUGAUAGGGAUAGGGGAUUGCAAUUAUUGCCCUGAACGAGGA
RNAcentral lists this ribosomal RNA (560 nucleotides) under Mylonchulus sp. NK-2011a. RNAcentral's name for it is "SSU rRNA". It matches the Rfam family "Eukaryotic small subunit ribosomal RNA", at positions 1024 to 1609 of the family's 1831-position model. The record is from RNAcentral. Lineage: Eukaryota; Metazoa; Nematoda; Enoplea; Mononchida; Mylonchulidae.